Molecule: long non-coding RNA, 583 nt
Filed under: Citrus x clementina
Lineage: Eukaryota; Viridiplantae; Streptophyta; Magnoliopsida; Sapindales; Rutaceae
Description: Citrus clementina (C. clementina) long non-coding RNA (CCLE_LNC000900)
Source: RNAcentral
UAGGGGUAAAAUUAUUAUUUCAUUUAAAUUAUUUAACAGUGUUAGUGUAAAAGUUGUUAAUUGAUAUAAAUUUAAAAAAAAAAGUGAUGCAGUGAACAUGUUAGAAAUUUAUGGUGAUUGGAUGAACAUAAGGCAAAAGAAAGGUAGUGCAAUGAUAAUUUUCCUUUAAUUAAAGGUAUUUUGAAUAUUUUCAACAAUUCAUUUUGAUUACAUGACAAAGUAAACAUAACAAUGGGAAUACAUUGAUUCUGAUUCUAAUUCUAAUUCCAAUUCGUACAGCUGAAGCAAACAACACACCACAAAUAUUUAUUCAGAUUGUCAUACUCUAUUUGGAUUCCAUGUCAUUCUUGUUCCAAAUUUGUAAAGGCUCCGUAAAUAAGUUGAAAACACAUUUAGUCCCUAUAUUUUAAGUUUAGUGCCCCUUUAGUUCUCUUAUUUUUUAAAAUAUCCCAUAACAUUCUUGCUAUUAAAUUAUUAACACAUUUCCAUUACUUUUUAUUCCUUUUAGUUUGCUUUUAUAAUAUCACCCUCUUAUAAUAAUGUUUCUUUUUUCUUUUCGGACAUUAAUAAGAAGAAAGAAUUA